GGGGUGCGUUGUGGACCGACUGAGUCGAGCACGAGUCGGAGAAAAACAGCUAUUUGCCAAUUAACGGGGAAAACAUUAACCACUAAAAACCAACAAUGGCAUCAUCCAUUCGCCUAUCCUUAUCGCCGCCGUCUAAAACCCUAGCUCCGCCUUCCACUUCCACCAGCCGCGGUUGCAGAUGCUGCUCCGUCGUCUCCGUUUCAAAAUGCCAUAAACCGACGAGGAGAAAGAGGCAGCAGGUGAUUUGCAUGGCUCCCGAGGAAGAGAAAUUGAUUCGCCGUAAUCCCCUCGAUUUCCCCAUUGGCGUAGACCUGACAUUUUCCCUCAAUUCAGUCCCAUGAAAACACCAUUACCGGCGCCAAUGCCAUAUUCUCCUCCCCAAGAAGAUGAAGAAGACGAGGAAGAUCCAGAAAAGGAACAGGAACCCGAAAACCCCGAAAAGCAGUCAUGAGAAACAGUGCGUAGGCGGUGCAGUCAUUUCUUGCCGACAAAUCGAGCCCCCCACGCAUACUCGGCAAUGUGAUGCCUACACCGAAACGACCCCGGGUGCUUCGUCGGCGAACAUAAGCAUCGCUUUACCAUCGAACCAGCUCGCUCGUCUCUAGUAACCCCGGUUCUCGGUGCAUGACGGGCGGUGGUGGCGGCAAUCAAUGAUGCUUGGAGUACCAACAACCUGCGUCGCACCGCCGAGCCAUGUUUUCCGGCGGAUGGAACGGUUGCGUAGCACAUCUUUUUUUGUAAAGCUGAAGGAGCUUUUUUUGUUGAGGUGGAGAUUAUAUAUAUGAGGAAAAGAAGAAAGGUAUAGAAGGAGAGGUGGGCGAGUAAAGUUUUUUGGGGGUUUAUAAAGCAACUUCUUUUCAUUAAAUUGCAUCAAAAGGUUUAUGCGUUAUCCUCAAAGCGUCAGCUGCUCAUACGGCCACCUGUCAUGCCUAGUAUAUUAAAGGAUAAAUUCAAUCCAAGGUCACUAAAUUAUUAGUGAGUUUACGUUUUAGUCACUUAACUUCAAAAAGUUAUAAAAUACUAUUCGAAAAUUUUCAUUUAAGUUAUCAAACUAUCCGAAAGUUUUUAUUUAAGUCACUUAAUUGUUAAAAAAACAUUUAACUAGCGAGGUUCAAGUGACAAUUUGAUGAUUGGUAUGAUGAA
Gossypium raimondii (Peruvian cotton) is the source of this 1143-nucleotide long non-coding RNA. RefSeq lists it as uncharacterized. The record is from RefSeq and is a predicted model, not a curated record. NCBI's taxonomy places the organism in Eukaryota, Viridiplantae, Streptophyta, Magnoliopsida, Malvales, Malvaceae. The transcript is spliced from 3 exons.